ACGAUCACCGAAGUUAAGCAACGUCGUGCUUGGUCAGUAUCUAGAUGGGUGACCACCUGGGAAUACCAGGUGCUGUAA
This is a non-coding RNA of Acanthosepion pharaonis, 78 nucleotides long. Lineage: Eukaryota; Metazoa; Mollusca; Cephalopoda; Sepiida; Sepiidae. The record is from the annotation of a GenBank genome assembly.